UCCCAUCCCAAUGCCACCAUCAUGUCCCCAUGGCUGUCCCCAUCCCAGUGCCACCAUCCCGUCCCAAUCAGUGUCCCCAUCCUGAUGCCACCACUGUGUCCCCAUCCCAGUGCCACCGUCACGUCCCAAUCAGUGUCCCCAUCCUGAUGCCAAUCCCAUGUCCCCAUCCCAGUGCCACCACCACAUCCCCACGGCUGUCCCCAUCCCAAUGCCACCAUCACGUCCCAAUCAAUGUCCCCAUCCUGAUGCCACCACUGUGUCCCCAUCCCAGUGCCACCAUCACGUCCCAAUCAAUGUCCCCAUCCUGAUGCCACCACUGUGUCCCCAUCCCAGUGCCACCAUCCCGUCCCAAUCAAUGUCCCCAUCCUGAUGCCACCACCAGUCCCCAUCCUGGUUCCACUCCCAUGUCCCCAUCCUAAUGCCACCCCCAUGUCCCCAUUCCGAUGCCACCACCUCAUCCCCACGGCUGUCCCCAUCCCAGUGCCACCAUCCCGUCCCAACCAAUGUCCCCGCCCUGAUGCCACCCCAUGUCCCCACGCUGUCCCCAGGUGUGGGCACACUACGAGGAGGCUCCGUCGGAGGAGGUGGUGGCGGUGGCAGAGGAGCAGGAACGCUCGGCGUCCUACCGGCCCGUCUUUGUCACCGAGGUCACCGACGAGCUGCACUUCUAUGUGCAGGACGUGGAGACGGGUGGGGCUCGUUAGCGCCUAAUUAUGCUUAAUUAGGGGUCAUUAAAAUGGGGGAGCGGCUUGCAGUGGGAGGACGUGGGGUGGGGAUGGUUUGGCGUGGCAUCUUUGGCCCCGUGUCCCCAAUCCCAGGGGUGUCCCAAUGGGUGACCAAGCGGUGUCCCUGUGGUGUCCCAGUCGGUGUCCCCAUGGUGUCCUCAUGGUGUCCCCAUGGUGUCCCAAUGGAUGUCCCCAUGGGGUCUCCAUGGAUGUCCCAAAGGAUGUCCCCAUGGUGUCCCCAUGGUGUCCCAAUGGACUUCCCAAUGGAUGUCCCCAUGGUGUCCCAAUGGAUGUCCCCUGGAUGUCCCAAUGGAUGUCCCCAAGGAUGUCCCCAUGAUGUCCCCUGGUGUCCCCAUGGUGUCCCAAUGGAUGUCCCAAUUGAUGUCUCCAUGAGUGUCUCCAAGAUGUCCCUUGGUGUUCCCAUGGUGUCCCAAUGGAUGUCCCCACAAUGUCCCCAUGGUGUCCCCAUGGUGUCCCAAUGGAUGUUCCCAUGAUGUCCCUGUCGUGUCCCCAUGAUAUCCCCAUGAUGUCCCCAUGAUGUCCCCGUGGUGUUUUAAUGGAUGUCCCAGUUGAUGUCCCCACAAUGUCCCCAUGGUGUCCUAAUGGACGUCCCAAUGGAUGUCCCCAUGGUGUCCCCAGGAGUGUCUCCACGAUGUCCCUUGGUAUCCCCAUGAUGUCCCCAUGGUGUCCCCUGGUGUCCCCAUAGUGUCCCCAUGGUGUCCCAAUGGACAUCCCAAUGGACAUCCCCAUGAUGUCCCCAUGGUGUCCCAAUGGAUGUCCCCAUGGUGUCCCAAUGGUGUCCCAAUGGAUGUCCCCAUGAUGUCCAUAUAAUGUCCCCAAGGAUGUCCACAUGGUGUCCCCAUGGUGUCCCCUGGUGUCCCCAUGAGUAUCUCCACGAUAUCCCUCGGUGUCCCCAUAGUGUCCCAAUGGAUGUCCCCAUGGAUGUCCCCAAGGAUGUCCCCAUGAUGUCC
Molecule: long non-coding RNA, 1696 nt
Organism: Phasianus colchicus (ring-necked pheasant)
Lineage: Eukaryota; Metazoa; Chordata; Aves; Galliformes; Phasianidae
Source: Ensembl